This 268-nucleotide unclassified non-coding RNA is filed under the name Yarrowia lipolytica. Lineage: Eukaryota; Fungi; Ascomycota; Dipodascomycetes; Dipodascales. The record is from RNAcentral.
UGGCCAAGAAGAUAUAACCCAGUCGGUUGCGAAGGGAACGCCGAAUCUCGGCGAAAAACGAAUUUCGAGUGUGGAUAAGACAUGAGACGAUUGAUAUGAUAUGGUUGAUUUUCUAGUCUUGAUUCGCUACCACGAGACCGCGACAAGGACAAGAACAAGAUGAAGCGACGACGAACCAACUGACACGCGCCUCGAAACGCACAUUGCAACGAUUAUUGUAUGUGUAUUGAACGCCAAUAACACGGCUUACUAGGUAUAUAGCUGUAAU